CCCUCAUUAAACACUUACCAGAUCCUUUUCUGUUGCUAUGUAGGCAGUAUAAUAGCUUUCACAGCUGCUUGCUGAAUGAAAUGGGGAAACACACACACACACACACACACACACACACACACACAAUUUGGGAGUGUGUGUGGGGAGAGAAAUUUCCACAGUGUUUCAGGAUCAAGGGAUGCUAGUGACAGAUAAGUAAACUGAGGCUCCCUGAGGUAAGCUGAGCUUCCCGAAGUCACAGAACCAUAAAGUGCCAAAGUAGGACUAGACAGGAGAAGAUUCUGGAAGUGACAGAUAUCUAAAGAAGAGGGAUCCCCAUCUGUUCAGAUUUUCAGAUGCACAUGUAGUCUGGAGACCUAGGAGAGGAGGUAAAACUAUAACUUGUUAAUAUUGGAAAAGAUCCAGCAUCUAGCUUGUUAUUGUUGCAAGAACACACGCUAUAGUUACUAGCUUGGCUAAACUUGUUAUACAACCAGUGACAGGAAGCUCACUGCCUACCAAGUCAGUGCAUAUUCUGUUUGAACAACUUGUCGGAAAGCCUUUCCUUAUGUUGCGCCUUGAUGUAACUUCCACUUCUGGAGCUGCCCAGAGUGAGCCAGGUGCUUUCUUCGCAGCAUAACCUUUACGUGUUUCAAGACAAGCUAGUGUGUCUGCUGCUCUGACCCUUCCGUCCACACGUGCGUUCGGCAAGCAUAUCAGGAUUCUUGGUAACAAAUGGCAAUAAGUGGUAAUAAACGGAAAACUCAAACUGACUUAAACAUGG
This is a long non-coding RNA of Panthera uncia (snow leopard), 763 nucleotides long. RefSeq lists it as uncharacterized. Lineage: Eukaryota; Metazoa; Chordata; Mammalia; Carnivora; Felidae. The record is from RefSeq and is a predicted model, not a curated record. The transcript is spliced from 2 exons.